UACGUAGGGUCCAAGCGUUAUCCGGAAUCACUGGGCGUAAAGCGUGCGUAGGUGGCGCGUUAAGUGAGAUGUUAAAUCGUGUGGCUCAACCAUAUCGAUGCAUCUCAUACUGGCGUGCUAGAGGACAGCAGAGGCAAGUGGAAUUAGCAGUGUAGCAGUGAAAUGCGUGGAUAUCGAGAAGAACACUUAGGGCGAAGGCAAGACUCUGGACAAAUGCUGACGCUCAUGCACGAAGGCUAGGGUAGCGAACGGG
Molecule: ribosomal RNA, 253 nt
Filed under: uncultured bacterium
Lineage: Bacteria
Description: partial 16S ribosomal RNA
Rfam family: Bacterial small subunit ribosomal RNA
Source: RNAcentral